RNAcentral lists this ribosomal RNA (446 nucleotides) under uncultured organism. RNAcentral describes it as "partial 16S ribosomal RNA". It matches the Rfam family "Bacterial small subunit ribosomal RNA", at positions 334 to 797 of the family's 1533-position model. The record is from RNAcentral.
CACUCCUGCGGGAGGCAGCAGUGGGGAAUCUUGCGCAAUGGGCGAAAGCCUGACGCAGCCAUGCCGCGUGAAUGAUGAAGGUCUUAGGAUUGUAAAAUUCUUUCACCGGGGACGAUAAUGACGGUACCCGGAGAAGAAGCCCCGGCUAACUUCGUGCCAGCAGCCGCGGUAAUACGAAGGGGGCUAGCGUUGCUCGGAAUUACUGGGCGUAAAGGGAGCGUAGGCGGACAUUUAAGUCAGGGGUGAAAUCCCGGGGCUCAACCUCGGAAUUGCCUUUGAUACUGGGUGUCUUGAGUAUGAGAGAGGUGUGUGGAACUCCGAGUGUAGAGGUGAAAUUCGUAGAUAUUCGGAAGAACACCAGUGGCGAAGGCGACACACUGGCUCAUUACUGACGCUGAGGCUCGAAAGCGUGGGGAGCAAACAGGAUUAGAAACCCUUGUAGUCCC